Long non-coding RNA from Saccostrea cuccullata (small rock oyster), 311 nucleotides. RefSeq lists it as uncharacterized. The transcript is spliced from 3 exons. The record is from RefSeq and is a predicted model, not a curated record. Lineage: Eukaryota; Metazoa; Mollusca; Bivalvia; Ostreida; Ostreidae.
AAAAAGAAAACAACGUGAUCGACAGACACACAUGAAAAACGGUAUUUACGAUCAUUUUACAACCUGAACUAAGACACAGAAUCAGUAAUGUUUGCAGUGAUGACCCACUCAGAUGAAUUUAAGAUACAGUCAAAGGUGGUUACCCAAGAUGUAGGGUAAAGUGUCACUUGACAGCUAGAACAUUAUGGCAUGCAGGCAGGAGUCUUGGUUUGCAUUUAUCCUUCCUGGGCUGAUCAAACUGCAUGUGGACUUGUAUCAAACUUUUUCAAACAACCAUGGAUUAGUGCGGUAUAUUCUUAAGUGCACUCACA